GGCAGUGGGUCUGUGAGAAGCUGAGCUGACUCUGCAUCGCUAAUCCCACAUCCCUUAAUGCGAUUGAGGGUGAGCUUAGAUGCUUGACGGCUUUUAAUUGAUCAAUAAACUUUGGGAACUAUCUCCAGCUUUCGUUUCAACAGGGCAACAGGCACCCAAUGCCCAGGAGUUGGACCCAUCAAAGCCCUCCAGCGCUCCGUAUAAACCAACACUCUGAACUCGCUGGUCCGACCGUCAAGUCAACCAAGGAAAGAAACACGUCACCAGUGGAUGCUCCAAUGAGUUGAUAGCAUUUUAUUAAAGACUAAUCACCAUCAAAUAGUUUUAUGUGCAUCAGUUUCAUUAGAGAGUGAAUACACAGCUGGAAGCUUUUCCUCUCUAUCAGUAGAGAUACAAUCAGCAGUACGCAAUUUGUUUGGUGAUAUGGUGAGUAUCAAUAAUCUCGUUAUCUUAACCGACAGCUUGUGAAAGUGAGCCAAUGCUGAAGCCAGUAGAAUAGUGUUAUCACUAUUCACAUGGACAAUGCAGGCUGCUGUUUCUUCACCUAUACCACACCUUUGGUGCAAACAUAUUCCAUCGUUGAAACUGUUUUAAAAGCUCUGUUUUGUGGGAUUCUGUCAAAUACUAAACAUGGAAAUGACUGUGUCAACUUAGAUAUGAUACACUUAAUAUUGAUGUGGUACUAUACUUUCUUCUUUACGUGGCAAAAAGUUAUGGAAGAAUGUUUGAAAGAAAAUAAUAAUCAAGUGAUUAGCCCUCUUUGCUUUCCAUUUUUAUUAUUUCAUCACCUGUGCACUGUAGCAUAUUUCUUCUUUUAUUUUGAACACAAGAAUUUUCUUGUAGAUUGGACACAAGCAUUCAACUACACUUCACGUGUGAACAGUGGUGUAAGACAAGUUCUGAACUACAACUGCUGUAACACCAGACUAGGUUCCACUUGCGUUUGUGGGCAUUCAUGCCAUGUUUGCUGAUGUAUUUUUAGCCACUCAACUGUCUGCACUUGUGUGAUAUAACACCAUGAAUACUACGAUGUGUGUGUGUGUGUGUGUUGGCCAGAGAGUGUGUGUAUGGGAGUGUUUGUAACAGCACAAAGUCAUAAACGAACUAAGCCAAAACUUACCUACAGGGUUCUAUGAAACACCAGUCAGUAUUGUAGAUUACCUGUGUCUAAGAAGCUGAGAAAGCACAGCAC
Molecule: long non-coding RNA, 1192 nt
Organism: Clupea harengus (Atlantic herring)
Lineage: Eukaryota; Metazoa; Chordata; Actinopteri; Clupeiformes; Clupeidae
Source: Ensembl